This 2811-nucleotide ribosomal RNA is filed under the name Eriocheir sinensis (Chinese mitten crab). RNAcentral describes it as "bacterial LSU rRNA". It matches the Rfam family "Bacterial large subunit ribosomal RNA". The record is from RNAcentral. Lineage: Eukaryota; Metazoa; Arthropoda; Malacostraca; Decapoda; Varunidae.
AAGAGUAACGGGGGAUGCCUUGCUCUCAGAGGCGAUGAAAGGACGUGAUAAGCUGCGAUAAGCGCGGGGAUUGGGCAAAUAUGAAUUAAUCGAAGAUUUCCGAAUGGGCAACCCGCAUGUUGAAGACUAUGUUCACAAUAGAGCGAACCUGCCGAACUGAAACAUCUAAGUAAGCAGAGGAAGAGAAAAUAAUAAUGAUUUCCUAAGUAGUGGCGAGCGAAAGGGAAAGCCCAAACCAGUUGUUACGGCAAAACUGGGGUUUGUAGGACUACGAUGUGAUUAUAAUGUAACGAAGUGAAUGGGAUGGGAAAGCCAAUAAGCGUGAUAGCCGCGUACACGUAAGGAAUUAGUCUAGUAGUAUCCUGAGUACCGCGAGGUCGGAGACGCCUUGUGGGAAUCUGCCGGCACCAUCCGGUAAGGCUAAAUACUCCUGAGAGACCGAUAGUGAACCAGUACCGUGAGGGAAAGGUGAAAAGAACCCCGAACAGGGGAGUGAAAUAGAACCUGAAACCGUGUACUUACAAGCGGUCGGAGCACCUUCGUGGGUGUGACGGCGUGCCUUUUGCAUAAUGAGCCUACGAGUUACUCUUCACUGGCAAGGUUAAGUGUUUAAGACACGGAUCCGAAGCGAAAGCGAGUCUGAAUAGGGCGCAUAGUCAGUGGAGGUAGACGCGAAACCUUGUGAUCUACCCAUGGGCAGGUUGAAGGUGGUAACACGUACUGGAGGACCGAACCGGUAAACGUUGAAAGUUUUCGGAUGAUCUGUGGGUAGGGGUGAAAGGCUAAUCAAACUGGGAAAUAGCUCGUACUCCCCGAAAUGUUUUUAGGAACAGCGUUAUGAGUUAUAUAGAGGUAGAGCUACUGAUUGGGUGCGGGGAGUCAAAUCCUACCAAAUCCAGACAAACUCCGAAUGCUAUAUAAUAUAACGGCAGUGAGGGCUGGGUGCUAAGGUCCGGGCCGAGAGGGAAAGAACCCAGACCAUCAGCUAAAUUAUGCUAAGUUGAACUAACGAGGUUGCGAUUGCAUAGACAGCUAGGAUGUUGGCUUGGAAGCAGCCAUUCAUUUAAAGAGUGCGUAACAGCUCACUAGUCGAGCGAUCGUGCAUGGAUAAUAAUCGGGCAUAAGUAUAUACCGAAGCUAUGGAUUAAAUUAUAUCGGUAGGGGAGCAUUCUAGCGGCAGCGAAGUUGUAGCGUGAGCUAUGGUGGAGCUUCUAGAAAAGAAAAUGUAGGCAUAAGUAACGAUAAGGCGGGAGAGAAACCCGCCCACCGAAAGGACUAAGGUUUCCUGAUCAAACGCUAAUCGGAUCAGGGUUAGUCGGGGCCUAAGGCGAACCCGAAGGGGUAGUCGAUGGACAACGGUUAAUAUUACCGUACUUUUUUAUAACUGCGAUGUGGGGACGGAGUAUGACUGCCGCGAACUGACGGAAUAGUUCGUUAAAGGCUGUAGGUAUAGGACUGGUAGGCAAAUCCGCCAGUCUUGGCUGAAACGCGAUAGUACCGCGAGCCUUCGGGCAAAGUGGAUAGCGCAGGUAAUCAGACUUCCAAGAAAAACCGCUAAGCUUCAGGUUAUAAAAACCCGUACCGCAAACCGACACAGGUAGUCGGGAGAGAAGCCUAAGGUGCUCGAGUGAAUCACGGCUAAGGAACUAGGCAAAAUAACCCUGUAACUUCGGGAAAGGGAGCCGGCAGCAAUGUCGGCCGCAGAGAAAUGGCCCAGGCGACUGUUUAACAAAAACACAUGGCUAUGCAAAAUAAUGUCGACGUAUAUGGCCUGACACCUGCCCGGUGCUGGAAGGUUAAGAGGGGAUGUCAUCGCAAGAGAAGCAUUGAAUCGAAGCCCCAGUAAACGGCGGCCGUAACUAUAACGGUCCUAAGGUAGCGAAAUUCCUUGUCGGGUAAGUUCCGACCUGCACGAAUGGUGUAACGAUCUGGGCACUGUCUCAGCCGUGAGCUCGGUGAAAUUGUAGUGACGGUGAAGAUGCCGUCUACCCGCACGGGACGGAAAGACCCCGUGAACCUUUACUACUUAGUGACUGGAUAUCAGAUGUGUAGGAUAGGUGGGAGGCUUUGAAGUGGCGUCGCCAGGCGUCAUUUAGCCAACGUUGAAAUACCACCCUUUUGAUAUUUGGUUCCUAACCCCGGAUGGGGGACACCGCUUGGUGGGUAGUUUGACUGGGGUGGUCGCCUCCAAAAGAGUAACGGAGGCUUUCAAAGGUUCCCUCAGCACGCUUGGUAACCGUGCGAUGAGUGCAAUAGCAAAAGGGAGCUUGACUGCGAGACAAACAAGUCGACAGGUACGAAAGUAGGAUAUAGUGAUCCGGUGGUUCUGCAUGGAAGGGCCAUCGCUCAAAGGAUAAAAGGUACUCCGGGGAUAACAGGCUGAUCUCCCCCAAGAGCUCAUAUCGACGGGGAGGUUUGGCACCUCGAUGUCGGCUCGUCACAUCCUGGGGCUGGAGAAGGUCCCAAGGGUUCGGCUGUUCGCCGAUUAAAGUGGCACGCGAGCUGGGUUCAGAACGUCGUGAGACAGUUCGGUCCCUAUCUGUUGUGGGCGUAGGAAGUUUGAGAGGGCUGACCUUAGUACGAGAGGACCGGGUUGGACUACCUCUAGUGUAUCUGUUGUUCCGCCAGGGGCACCGCAGAGUAGCUACGCUGGGAAUAGAUAAGCGCUGAAAGCAUCUAAGUGCGAAACUAGCCACGAAUGAAGAAUUCCAAUAUAGGGCCGUAGAAGAGACUACGUUGAUAUAGGUUCAACAGAUGUAAAGCUGGUGACAGCAUAGUCGAGUGGAUACUAAUAACCCGAAGCUUUCCAAU